RNAcentral lists this ribosomal RNA (467 nucleotides) under uncultured bacterium. RNAcentral's name for it is "partial 16S ribosomal RNA". It matches the Rfam family "Bacterial small subunit ribosomal RNA", at positions 28 to 507 of the family's 1533-position model. The record is from RNAcentral.
GACGAACGCUGGCGGCGUGCUUAACACAUGCAAGUCGAACGGAAAGGCCCUGCUUUUGUGGGGUGCUCGAGUGGCGAACGGGUGAGUAACACGUGAGUAACCUGCCCUUGACUUUGGGAUAACUUCAGGAAACUGGGGCUAUACCGGAUAGGAGCCCCUGCCUCAUGGUGGGGGGUGGAAAGUUUCGGCGGUUGGGGAUGGGCUCGCGGCUUAUCAGCUUGUUGGUGGGGUAGUGGCUUACCAAGGCUUUGACGGGUAGCCGGCCUGAGAGGGUGACCGGCCACAUUGGGACUGAGAUACGGCCCAGACUCCUACGGGAGGCAGCAGUGGGGAAUAUUGCACAAUGGGCGGAAGCCUGAUGCAGCAACGCCGCGUGCGGGAUGACGGCCUUCGGGUUGUAAACCGCUUUCGCCUGUGACGAAGCGUGAGUGACGGUAAUGGGUAAAGAAGCACCGGCUAACUACGUG